GUAGUCUGCAACUCGACUACAUGAAGCUGGAAUCGCUAGUAAUCGCAGAUCAGAAUGCUGCGGUGAAUACGUUCCCGGGUCUUGUACACACCGCCCGUCACACCAUGGGAGUCGGAAAUGCCCGAAGCCGGUGACCAAACCGAAAGGGAGGAGCUGCCGAAGGCGGGACGGAUGACUGGGGUGAAGUCGUAACAAGGUAUC
This 201-nucleotide ribosomal RNA is filed under the name uncultured bacterium. RNAcentral describes it as "partial 16S ribosomal RNA". It matches the Rfam family "Bacterial small subunit ribosomal RNA", at positions 1300 to 1500 of the family's 1533-position model. The record is from RNAcentral.